This 88-nucleotide non-coding RNA is filed under the name Streptomyces mobaraensis. Lineage: Bacteria; Bacillati; Actinomycetota; Actinomycetes; Kitasatosporales; Streptomycetaceae. The record is from RNAcentral.
AGAGGAAGCCGGUGAGAAUCCGGCGCGGUCCCGCCACUGUCACCGGACGCCCGCCACCCGCGGGGCCCGUCCGGAAGCCAGGAGACUC